RNAcentral lists this ribosomal RNA (481 nucleotides) under uncultured bacterium. RNAcentral's name for it is "partial 16S ribosomal RNA". It matches the Rfam family "Bacterial small subunit ribosomal RNA", at positions 28 to 507 of the family's 1533-position model. The record is from RNAcentral.
GAUGAACGCUAGCGGGAGGCCUAACACAUGCAGGCCGAGCGGUAGAAAGUAGCUUGCUACUUUUGAGAGCGGCGUACGGGUGCGGAACACGUGUGCAACCUGCCUUUAUCUGGGGAAUAGCCUUUCGAAAGGAAGAUUAAUGCCCCAUAACAUAUUGAUUGGCAUCAAUUAAUAUUGAAAGCUCCGGCGGAUAGAGAUGGGCACGCGCAAGAUUAGCUAGUUGGUGAGGUAACGGCUCACCAAGGCGAUGAUCUUUAGGGGGCCUGAGAGGGUGAUCCCCCACACUGGUACUGAGACACGGACCAGACUCCUACGGGAGGCAGCAGUGAGGAAUAGUGGACAAUGGGUGCAAGCCUGAUCCAGCCAUCCCGCGUGAAGGAUGACGGCCCUAUGGGUUGUAAACUUCUUUUAUACAGGGAUAAACCUACUUACGUGUAAGUAGCUGAAGGUACUGUAUGAAUAAGCACCGGCUAACUCCGUG